UACGAAGGGGGCUAGCGUUGCUCGGAAUUACUGGGCGUAAAGCGUGCGCAGGCGGUUUUGUAAGUCUGAUGUGAAAUCCCCGGGCUCAACCUGGGAAUUGCGUUGGAGACUGCAAGGCUAGAAUCUGGCAGAGGGGGGUAGAAUUCCACGUGUAGCAGUGAAAUGCGUAGAGAUGUGGAGGAACACCGAUGGCGAAGGCAGCCCCCUGGGUCAAGAUUGACGCUCAUGCACGAAAGCGUGGGGAGCAAACAGG
RNAcentral lists this ribosomal RNA (253 nucleotides) under uncultured bacterium. Its description in RNAcentral is "partial 16S ribosomal RNA". It matches the Rfam family "Bacterial small subunit ribosomal RNA", at positions 524 to 776 of the family's 1533-position model. The record is from RNAcentral.